Long non-coding RNA from Ailuropoda melanoleuca (giant panda), 3728 nucleotides. RefSeq lists it as uncharacterized. Lineage: Eukaryota; Metazoa; Chordata; Mammalia; Carnivora; Ursidae. The record is from RefSeq and is a predicted model, not a curated record. The transcript has 6 exons.
GUGGAGGAAAUCAGCGGCCUCUCACCGUGUCCUGCAAAACGAAACGAAACACCGCCGAGAACAGAAGAGCAGCACGUAGGAGAGCAGAGCACCCGAGGCCAGGUCUUCUCGUUGCCGAAGCAAAGUGGCAAACUACCUUUAUUUCAGGGCUGGCGUUGCUACGGCUGAUGCAUCGACGCAGCGGAGACCAGAGUCUUGUCAAUGUUUGCGUCAUUGGAAAGAUUCACAGGAGGACGAGCGAGCCUGGGAGUUGAAGAGCCUGACUACACUGCCAGCCUGAGGCCUGUGUGAAGCCCACGGGGGGGCCACGUGUCCUCAGCGUCCUGUGACUCCCCAGAGAGGACCCCGACGCUGACCAGGCCUUGGAGAACACCCAACGGAAGUCUGGGAGAGGCGGCACGAUUCGGAGCUCCAGCCCCUUCCCAGUACUCCGAGAUGAAUUCAUUCUUCUGUACGGGAUCUUUGAUGAAGAUGCCCCAGCCUGCCACGUCGGAUGGCGCCAGCAACAAAUGCUAGAGAAGAACACGUGCACAACCACAUCAGCAAAGGAGCAGAGACGCAGUGCUGACACGUGAGCCACACGAUGACCCGCCGUCCGUCCUCGGCCCCGUUCCAGAGCAGUCACUCAACCAGACGCUGUCGGCAGGAGAGCUCUGAGCACCCCAAACCAAGGGGCCAGCUUCCCAGGUAUUGGAAAAGCACAGCUUCCUUUAUAAGUAAAGCCAUCUUUGGUCCUACCAUUAAGCAAAUGAAACCCCGUUGACAAAAAGUAUGUUCUCCCCUGUGUCAGUUCUCCAAGCAGUCUGCAAAGGUGUGUCAACGUGAACGGUUUCCGAACAUAGACGAGUAUGGGGCGGGGGGAAAGGAGAUGGUGAGGACUGAGCGGGGGGCCUUGGGGACUGUCCCAGCAUCACUGUGACGUGAGGACGAAAUUCACAACCUAGUGUAAGAAAAUCACCUAACCCCUGAGCCCGGCCAGCCAGCGCUGGCAGUGACCCCAGUUACGUGCUAGGACGGCUCCGGACCCUAAGCUGGGAACGUGCCUCUCUGUUCUAACGGGAACGCAUCUACUCCCACGGGGCCUGUGUACAACUAGAAAAAUGCCUCUCCUGCCUCUGCUGUCAUCCGGGGCUGGUGUCGGCAGGGGAGGGUGUCCCGUCGAAAACAAGAGGACUGACCGCCUAGGUCUUCCCCUCCAAGCCCCAUCUUCCCCCCGCCACCGUGGCACCCGGGACUCCCUUCGCUUUAGCGAGCAGCGGCGACGAGCCGGCGGCUGGCGGGGGAGGCAAGCGCACCUUCUUGGAGCCGCGCUGGAUGCUGCAGUUCUUGCAGGACACGUUCUUGCUGUCCCAGUGGUCGGCGGCGCCGCAGGUGAGGCAGAGGUCCGGGUCGCACUCGCGCACGGCCAGGUAGCACGGGCACUGCUUGGUGUUGCACUGAGCCUUGCAGCGGCAGCCGGGGAAGCGGUUCUGACCUUCGGGAAGAGGGUCCUCAUCAUCUGCGAGCCUUGUGGGUCUGGGAGCGUGCAGAGCCUGGACUCUGUCAGGUCCCCUCACCCCCGGACCCCCCUCCCCCACCCGGACCCGAGAGGAAACUGAAGGGACAGGAAGGAAGAGCUGUCACUACUGAAAACGAGCGCCACUGAGCUCCUGGCUUUCCAUUCGUAUUUGUCAGGUGGCACGCGUAUGGAAAAGCUCUUUGAUUUAUAAAGUGGGUGUGAAGGAAGGGUUUAGACGAAAGAAGAGCCAUGGCUUGUGACCCUUCUCUGGGUCUGCAGUGCUAGACCCUUCUUGGUGUCCAAGCUGCCUGUGCCAUUCCGUUAAAUGCUGAGAGUCACCUCGACGGUGACUUCUGCGCCCAGCAUGCUGACCACUUCUGGGACCCGGCUAGAUGCCCUUUACGUUCUGUGCCAACUUGACUAUGAUUUAAUUUAAACGAUCCGGUGCUGCCUGAUCUGCCCACAGACACGCGCUGGCCACCAGCGCCCCAUAAAUCCUUAUAGAAUAAAUGCAUUUCCUAAAAAGCUAAAAAAGGGAAACAAGCAAGAGCUGCUAUGCUGUCAUUUACUAUUUUAAACUGCUGCCCAAAAGCCUCUAAUUUUCAUGCAGUUCAUCAAAGCAAAUACUUACACUCUGAACUACACUGACAAAACUUUUCACAAAAAUUUUGUGCGAUCACGCAAGGGCACGAACUGUCACAAGGCUGCCGUGGAUGGUCACAGGGUUGGUAGUUGUAAACGUGGUUCGAGGAGCCAUCUGCGUAAGGAGAGAACACACAGCUCAAUCCAGAGGCAGUCAAACACCACGAGCAAGAACGUGUCCUUCCCCGGUACACUGGCUGGCAGCAUGUCUUCCGUGCUGUGUGCGCGGUGAUGGCAGCUACUGCCUCCCACCCCCCACGUGCCUGGCGAGUCCAGAGGACUCCCCUCACUGGCUGACCCGCUCCUGCUGCACCAGAGGACUAACUGGACGCUAAUCAGCAGACAUCCUCCAUCUAAAUGGGUUUAAGCCAGGGAGUACGUGACAGCAGAAAUCCAACAGAAGCUACUGAGAAGGUCAGCGUGGGCCCCGAGUGUAACAGCGCUUUGAGUCCAAGAACAGCUGACCCUUGAACAAGGUGGGGUUGGGGGUGUGAACAUCCCACACCAUCCCCCCCAAGAUCUGCAUGUAAGUUUUGACUCCCCAAAAACUCAGCCUGUGGACCAUAAGCCUCACUAGUAACUGAUUGGUACAGAUUUUCUAUGUCACACGUAUCAUAUACUGUCCUUACAAUAAAGUAAGCUAGAGAGAAAAUACAGAGAAACUAUACGUGCAGGACCAGAAAACACAUAUUAAGUGGCCCCAUGUUGUUCGAGGGUCUGCUCUUAACCACACAGGAGGGCUCACCCCCCGCUGCCUCUGCGGGAGCGCGGGCCGCCCCGGGGGAGCCAGCCCCUCCGGCCCUGGCUUUCCGUGGCAGGCCACGUCUACCUGGGUUCACUUGAAGUGGGUGAGCCUGAAAUAAUAGCAUGUGUCUAAUUUCAGGCAUCUGUAGUCAUUCCACUGAGCUAUAUGAUCAGAAUUCAACCAAGAGAUGCAGCUAUCUCUACUAAAGCCUAAAUUCCUGUGGGGAAAACUAUGUUCUUCCAGUUCUAAAUUAAGUUAGUCCCACCGUCCAUAAAGGGAAUGUGAGCCUGCGCAGAGCUGAAGUGUCGUCCUUCACCCUUAGCCGACCGUGCUGCUCUCCCCAGACCGUGUGGGCCGGAGGAAAGGUGAGCGGACAGGCGUGGUUUCCGGCUCUACACUGACAAAAGAAGUCUGCCCGAAAACCCUCCCCGGGCUCCUCACUCCGCACGAGCCCCUGUGACAGGUGACCUUCACCAGGCUGAAAGCGGGGUGUCUGUGGAGACCAGAAAGCAACCCCGCACCUGGAGAACGCGGGCUCCUAGAAUGAAAGCCAGCUCAGCCCUCCCAUCACCUCCCAUCAGCCCUCAAGAUGCCGGCCCAGGGCCACAUCCGAGAUCCCUCUUAGAGCAAGUGGAGCCUUUACCGCAGAAGCUCCUAACCAGGUUUCCUUAACUAAACUGCAGCAUGGUGACCGUCAUUUUUAGGACUCUCCACACACCAAGUCUAUUGCAGGCUUAAGGGAGACGACGCACAAGCGCCGAGGCCAGCACGACUCCGGGGUCCGUGGCCGGACGGAGGCUGCGCCCUCGCACGGCCGCACGCAGGCUUACCGGUGUUUCCUCU